This 2896-nucleotide ribosomal RNA is filed under the name Acinetobacter baumannii. RNAcentral's name for it is "bacterial LSU rRNA". It matches the Rfam family "Bacterial large subunit ribosomal RNA". The record is from RNAcentral. Lineage: Bacteria; Pseudomonadati; Pseudomonadota; Gammaproteobacteria; Moraxellales; Moraxellaceae.
GUUGUAUAGUCAAGUAAUUAAGUGCAUGUGGUGGAUGCCUUGGCAGUCAGAGGCGAUGAAAGACGUGAUAGCCUGCGAAAAGCUCCGGGGAGGCGGCAAAUAUCCUUUGAUCCGGAGAUGUCUGAAUGGGGGAACCCACCUACUUUAAGGUAGGUAUUGCAACAUGAAUACAUAGUGUUGCAAGGCGAACGAGGGGAAGUGAAACAUCUCAGUACCCUUAGGAAAAGAAAUCAAUUGAGAUUCCCUCAGUAGCGGCGAGCGAACGGGGAUCAGCCCAUUAAGUUAUGUGUGUUUUAGUGGAACGCUCUGGGAAGUGCGAACGUAGAGGGUGAUAUUCCCGUACACGAAAGGGCACACAUAAUGAUGACGAGUAGGGCGAGGCACGUGAAACCUUGUCUGAAUAUGGGGGGACCAUCCUCCAAGGCUAAAUACUCCUGACUGACCGAUAGUGAACCAGUACCGUGAGGGAAAGGCGAAAAGAACCCCUGUGAGGGGAGUGAAAUAGAUCCUGAAACCGCAUGCAUACAAGCAGUGGGAGCACCUUCGUGGUGUGACUGCGUACCUUUUGUAUAAUGGGUCAGCGACUUAUAUUCAGUAGCAAGGUUAACCGUAUAGGGGAGCCGUAGAGAAAUCGAGUCUUAAUAGGGCGUUUAGUUGCUGGGUAUAGACCCGAAACCAGGCGAUCUAUCCAUGAGCAGGUUGAAGGUUGGGUAACACUAACUGGAGGACCGAACCCACUGUCGUUGAAAAGCCAGGGGAUGACUUGUGGAUAGGGGUGAAAGGCUAAUCAAGCCUGGUGAUAGCUGGUUCUCCCCGAAAGCUAUUUAGGUAGCGCCUCGGACGAAUACCAUAGGGGGUAGAGCACUGUUUCGGCUAGGGGGUCAUCCCGACUUACCAAACCGAUGCAAACUCCGAAUACCUAUGAGUACUAUCCGGGAGACAGACUGCGGGUGCUAACGUCCGUAGUCAAGAGGAAAACAAUCCAGACCGCCAGCUAAGGCCCCAAAAUCAUAGUUAAGUGGGAAACGAUGUGGGAAGGCAUAGACAGCUAGGAGGUUGGCUUAGAAGCAGCCACCCUUUAAAGAAAGCGUAAUAGCUCACUAGUCGAGUCGGCCUGCGCGGAAGAUGUAACGGGGCUAAAACUAUGUGCCGAAGCUGCGGAUNNNNNNNNNNNNNNNNNNNNNNNNNNNNNNNNNNNNNNNAUGCUGGAGGUAUCAGAAGUGCGAAUGCUGACGUGAGUAACGACAAAACGGGUGAAAAACCCGUUCGCCGAAAGACCAAGGGUUCCAGUCCAACGUUAAUCGGGGCUGGGUGAGUCGACCCCUAAGGCGAGGCCGAAAGGCGUAGUCGAUGGGAAAAUGGUUAAUAUUCCAUUACUUCUGUGUAAUGCGAUGAGAGGACGGAGAAGGCUAAAUCAGCCUGGCGUUGGUUGUCCAGGUGAAAGGAUGUAGGCAUGUAUCUUAGGCAAAUCCGGGGUACUCUAUGCUGAGAUCUGAUAGCAAGCUGUACUUGUACAGCGAAGUGGUUGAUGCCAUGCUUCCAGGAAAAGUCUCUAAGCUUCAGUUACACAGGAAUCGUACCCGAAACCGACACAGGUGGUCAGGUCGAGUAGACCAAGGCGCUUGAGAGAACUCUGCUGAAGGAACUAGGCAAAAUGGUACCGUAACUUCGGGAGAAGGUACGCUGUUGUUGGUGAUGGAACUCGCUUCCUGAGCUGACGACAGCCGCAGAAACCAGGCCGCUGCAACUGUUUAUUAAAAACAUAGCACUCUGCAAACACGAAAGUGGACGUAUAGGGUGUGAUGCCUGCCCGGUGCUGGAAGGUUAAUUGAUGGGGUUAGCGUAAGCGAAGCUCUUGAUCGAAGCCCCAGUAAACGGCGGCCGUAACUAUAACGGUCCUAAGGUAGCGAAAUUCCUUGUCGGGUAAGUUCCGACCUGCACGAAUGGCAUAAUGAUGGCGGCGCUGUCUCCAGCAGAGGCUCAGUGAAAUCGAAAUCGCUGUGAAGAUGCAGUGUACCCGCGGCUAGACGGAAAGACCCCGUGAACCUUUACUGCAGCUUGACACUGAACUUUGACCUUACUUGUGUAGGAUAGGUGGGAGGCUUUGAAGCUGGAACGCUAGUUCCAGUGGAGCCGUCCUUGAAAUACCACCCUGGUAAUGUUGAGGUUCUAACUCUGUCCCGUGAUCCGGGACGAGGACCGUGUCUGGUGGGUAGUUUGACUGGGGCGGUCUCCUCCUAAAGAGUAACGGAGGAGUACGAAGGUGCGCUCAGCGUGGUCGGAAAUCACGCGUAGAGUAUAAAGGCAAAAGCGCGCUUAACUGCGAGACCCACAAGUCGAGCAGGUACGAAAGUAGGUCUUAGUGAUCCGGUGGUUCUGUAUGGAAGGGCCAUCGCUCAACGGAUAAAAGGUACUCUGGGGAUAACAGGCUGAUACCGCCCAAGAGUUCAUAUCGACGGCGGUGUUUGGCACCUCGAUGUCGGCUCAUCUCAUCCUGGGGCUGAAGCAGGUCCCAAGGGUAUGGCUGUUCGCCAUUUAAAGAGGUACGCGAGCUGGGUUUAGAACGUCGUGAGACAGUUCGGUCCCUAUCUACCGUGGGCGCUGGAAAUUUGAGAGGAUCUGCUCCUAGUACGAGAGGACCAGAGUGGACGAACCUCUGGUGUACCGGUUGUGACGCCAGUCGCAUCGCCGGGUAGCUAUGUUCGGAAGGGAUAACCGCUGAAAGCAUCUAAGCGGGAAGCCUACCUCAAGAUAAGAUUUCCCUAGGACUUUAUGUCCUCUAAAGAGCCGUUCGAGACUAGGACGUUGAUAGGUUGGAUGUGGAAGCAUAGUGAUAUGUGAAGCUGACCAAUACUAAUUGCUCGUGAGGCUUGACUAUACAACACCCAAGCAGUUG